AGUGAACGCUGGCGGUAGGCCUAACACAUGCAAGUCGAACGGCAGCACAGUAAGAGCUUGCUCUUACGGGUGGCGAGUGGCGGACGGGUGAGGGAUACAUCGGAAUCUACUUUUUCGUGGGGGAUAACGUAGGGAAACUUACGCUAAUACCGCAUACGACCUACGGGUGAAAGCAGGGGAUCUUCGGACCUUGCGCGAUUGAUGAGCCGAUGUCGGAUUAGCUAGUUGGCGGGGUAAAGGCCCACCAAGGCGACGAUCCGUAGCUGGUCUGAGAGGAUGAUCAUCCACAGGAGCAGUGAGACGCGGUGCAGAGUUCUAGGUGGGGGCGAAGGGGGGAAUAUCGGACAAGGGGCGAAAGCAUGACCCACCCAUGCCGCGGGGGGGAAGAAGGUCUUUGGUUUGUAAAGCCCUUUUGUUGUGAAAGAAAAGAGGCAGGUUAAUACCCCGCUGUUCUGCCGAUACCAAAAAAAUAAGCACUGGCUAAUUCCGUGCCAGCGGCCGCGGUAAUAGAUCGACGAGCACUUGUCUAAC
This 531-nucleotide ribosomal RNA is filed under the name uncultured bacterium. RNAcentral describes it as "partial 16S ribosomal RNA". It matches the Rfam family "Bacterial small subunit ribosomal RNA", at positions 35 to 539 of the family's 1533-position model. The record is from RNAcentral.